This 387-nucleotide ribosomal RNA is filed under the name uncultured Sphingobacteriales bacterium. Its description in RNAcentral is "bacterial SSU rRNA". It matches the Rfam family "Bacterial small subunit ribosomal RNA", at positions 992 to 1382 of the family's 1533-position model. Lineage: Bacteria; Pseudomonadati; Bacteroidota; Sphingobacteriia; Sphingobacteriales. The record is from RNAcentral.
UGACAGCUGUCGAAAGAUGGUUUUCUUCGGACACUCUUCAAGGUGCUGCAUGGUUGUCGUCAGCUCGUGCCGUGAGGUGUCGGGUUAAGUCCCAUAACGAGCGCAACCCUUACUGUUAGUUGCCAGCGGGUAAAGCCGGGGACUCUAGCGGGACUGCCACCGUAAGGUGAGAGGAAGGUGGGGAUGACGUCAAAUCAGCACGGCCCUUAUGUCCAGGGCUACACACGUGUUACAAUGGCCGGUACAGAGGGCAGCUACAUCGCGAGAUGAUGCUAAUCCCGAAAGCCGGUCUCAGUUCGGAUCGAAGUCUGCAACCCGACUUCGUGAAGUUGGAUUCGCUAGUAAUCGCGCAUCAGCCAUGGCGCGGUGAAUACGUUCCCGGGUCUU